AUGGGCUUUGCUCAUUGUUGAAGACCUAUAGUUGUUAAUUUCUGUGUCAUGUUUGUCUCUUGAUGAGAGUUGUCUAAUUGGCAAUUAUACCACAUCUUCUGUUUUAUGUGGUCAGAAAACAGAAGCAAAAUGUUACAAAGGAGAAUCUUCAAUUUGCUAAUGGAUGCUUUUGUCCAGACAGAGAAACUAUAAUUUUGAAAUUUUUGAUUUGGC
This 213-nucleotide long non-coding RNA is filed under the name Mytilus galloprovincialis (Mediterranean mussel). The record is from RNAcentral. Lineage: Eukaryota; Metazoa; Mollusca; Bivalvia; Mytilida; Mytilidae.